RNAcentral lists this ribosomal RNA (187 nucleotides) under uncultured bacterium. RNAcentral describes it as "partial 16S ribosomal RNA". It matches the Rfam family "Bacterial small subunit ribosomal RNA", at positions 1314 to 1500 of the family's 1533-position model. The record is from RNAcentral.
GCCUUCAUGAAGCCGGAAUUGCUAGUAAUGGCAGGUCAGCAUACUGCCGUGAAUACGUUCCCGGGCCUUGUACACACCGCCCGUCACACCAUGAGAGUUGGGAAUACCCGAAGCCUGUGAGCUAACUUUUAAGAGGCAGCAGUCGAAGGUAGAAUCAAUGAUUGAAGUGAAGUCGUAACAAGGUACC